This 748-nucleotide ribosomal RNA is filed under the name Lactococcus garvieae. Its description in RNAcentral is "bacterial SSU rRNA". It matches the Rfam family "Bacterial small subunit ribosomal RNA", at positions 35 to 763 of the family's 1533-position model. The record is from RNAcentral. Lineage: Bacteria; Bacillati; Bacillota; Bacilli; Lactobacillales; Streptococcaceae.
GCUGGCGGCGUGCCUAAUACAUGCAAGUCGAGCGAUGAUUAAAGAUAGCUUGCUAUUUUUAUGAAGAGCGGCGAACGGGUGAGUAACGCGUGGGUAAAUCUGCCGAGUAGCGGGGGACAACGUUUGGAAACGAACGCUAAUACCGCAUAACAAUGAGAAUCGCAUGAUUCUUAUUUGAAAGAAGCAAUUGCUUCACUACUUGAUGAUCCCGCGUUGUAUUAGCUAGUUGGUAGUGUAAAGGACUACCAAGGCGAUGAUACAUAGCCGACCUGAGAGGGUGAUCGGCCACACUGGGACUGAGACACGGCCCAGACUCCUACGGGAGGCAGCAGUAGGGAAUCUUCGGCAAUGGGGGCAACCCUGACCGAGCAACGCCGCGUGAGUGAAGAAGGUUUUCGGAUCGUAAAACUCUGUUGUUAGAGAAGAACGUUAAGUAGAGUGGAAAAUUACUUAAGUGACGGUAUCUAACCAGAAAGGGACGGCUAACUACGUGCCAGCAGCCGCGGUAAUACGUAGGUCCCAAGCGUUGUCCGGAUUUAUUGGGCGUAAAGCGAGCGCAGGUGGUUUCUUAAGUCUGAUGUAAAAGGCAGUGGCUCAACCAUUGUGUGCAUUGGAAACUGGGAGACUUGAGUGCAGGAGAGGAGAGUGGAAUUCCAUGUGUAGCGGUGAAAUGCGUAGAUAUAUGGAGGAACACCGGAGGCGAAAGCGGCUCUCUGGCCUGUAACUGACACUGAGGCUCGAAAGCGUG